Molecule: ribosomal RNA, 1240 nt
Filed under: metagenome
Description: bacterial LSU rRNA
Rfam family: Bacterial large subunit ribosomal RNA
Source: RNAcentral
UGAGUACGAGAUGCUACGGCAUCGAAGCAGUCUAUGUCAUACUUCCAAGAAAAGCUUGCACUGUCAUAAACAAAGAAUGCCUGUACCAUAACCGACACAGGUGGGUAGGUAGAGUAUACUAAGGGGCGCGAGAUAACUCUCUCUAAGGAACUCGGCAAAAUGACUCCGUAACUUCGGGAGAAGGAGUGCCUUAUUUCUAAGGUUGCAAUAACAAGAUCCAAGCAACUGUUUACCAAAAACACAGGUCUCCGCUAAGUCGUAAGACGAUGUAUGGGGGCUGACGCCUGCCCAGUGCCAGAAGGUUAAAGAAGUUGGUUAGCAUUAGCGAAGCUGAUAACUGAAGCCCUGGUGAACGGCGGCCGUAACAAUAACGGUCCUAAGGUAGCGAAAUUCCUUGUCGGGUAAGUUCCGACCCGCACGAAAGGCGUAAUGAUUUGGAUACUGUCUCGGAGAGGGGCUCGGUGAAAUAGACUUGUCUGUGAAGAUGCGGACUACCUGCACCUGGACAGAAAGACCCUAUGAAGCUUUACUGUAACUUGAGAUUGGAAUUGGACUUUAUUUGCGCAGUAUAGGUGGGAGGCGUUGAGAAUAAUCUUGCGGGAUUGUUGGAGCCAUCAGUGAGAUACCACUCUUGUAAUGUUAGAUUUCUAACUUUGUAUCAUUAUCUGGUCAAAGAACAGUUUCAGGCGGGCAGUUUGACUGGGGCGGUCGCCUCCCAAAGGGUAACGGAGGCGCACAAAGGUUUCCUCUGAACGGGUAGAAAUCGUAUCUAGAGUGUAAAGGCAUAAGGAAGCUUGACUGUGAGACCUACAAGUCGAGCAGGGGCGAAAGUCGGUCUUAGUGAUCUGACGGUGCUGAGUGGAAAGGCCGUCACUCAACGGAUAAAAGUUACUCUAGGAUAACAGGCUGAUCUCCCCCAAGAGUUCACAUCGACGGGGAGGUUUGGCACCUCGAUGUCGGCUCAUCGCAUCCUGGGGCGGUAGUCCGUCCCAAGGGUUGGGCUGUUCGCCCAUGAAAGCGGUACGCGAGCUGGGUUCAGAACGUCGUGAGACAGUUCGGUCCAUAUCCGGUGUAGGCGUUAGAAUAUUGAGAGGAGCCUUCUCUAGUACGAGAGGACCGAGAAGGACAUACCUCUGGUGUACCAGUUAUCGUGCCAACGGUAAACGCUGGGUAGCUAUGUAUGGAGUGGAUAACCGCUGAAAGCAUCUAAGUGGGAAGCCCACCUCAAGAUAAGUAUUCC